RNAcentral lists this ribosomal RNA (425 nucleotides) under uncultured bacterium. RNAcentral describes it as "partial 16S ribosomal RNA". It matches the Rfam family "Bacterial small subunit ribosomal RNA", at positions 354 to 796 of the family's 1533-position model. The record is from RNAcentral.
GUGGGGAAUCUUAGACAAUGGGCGCAAGCCUGAUCUAGCCAUGCCGCGUGAGCAAUGAAGGCCUUAGGGUUGUAAAGCUCUUUCGUGGGGGAAGAUAAUGACUGUACCCCAAGAAGAAGCCCCGGCUAACUCCGUGCCAGCAGCCGCGGUAAUACGGAGGGGGCUAGCGUUGUUCGGAAUUACUGGGCGUAAAGCGCACGUAGGCGGACUGGAAAGUCAGGGGUGAAAUCCCGGGGCUCAACCCCGGAACUGCCUUUGAAACUCCCAGUCUUGAGUUCGAGAGAGGUGAGUGGAAUUCCGAGUGUAGAGGUGAAAUUCGUAGAUAUUCGGAGGAACACCAGUGGCGAAGGCGGCUCACUGGCUCGAUACUGACGCUGAGGUGCGAAAGCGUGGGGAGCAAACAGGAUUAGAUACCCGUGUAGUCC